UACGAAGGGGGCUAGCGUUGCUCGGAAUCACUGGGCGUAAAGGGUGCGUAGGCGGGCCUUUAAGGCAGGGGUGAAAUCCUGGAGCUCAACUCCAGAACUGCCUUUGAUACUGAAGAUCUUGAGUUCGGGAGAGGUGAGUGGAACUGCGAGUGUAGAGGUGAAAUUCGUAGAUAUUCGCAAGAACACCAGUGGCGAAGGCGGCUCACUGGCCCGAUACUGACGCUGAGGCACGAAAGCGUGGGGAGCAAACAGG
Molecule: ribosomal RNA, 253 nt
Filed under: uncultured bacterium
Lineage: Bacteria
Description: partial 16S ribosomal RNA
Rfam family: Bacterial small subunit ribosomal RNA
Source: RNAcentral